GAUGAACGCUGGCGGCGUGCCUAAUACAUGCAAGUCGAGCGAACAGACGAGGAGCUUGCUCCUCUGACGUUAGCGGCGGACGGGUGAGUAACACGUGGAUAACCUACCUAUAAGACUGGGAUAACUUCGGGAAACCGGAGCUAAUACCGGAUAAUAUAUUGAACCGCAUGGUUCAAUAGUGAAAGACGGUUUUGCUGUCACUUAUAGAUGGAUCCGCGCCGCAUUAGCUAGUUGGUAAGGUAACGGCUUACCAAGGCGACGAUGCGUAGCCGACCUGAGAGGGUGAUCGGCCACACGGGAACUGAGCCACGGUCCAGACUCCUACGGGAGGCAGCAGUAGGGAAUCUUCCGCAAUGGGCGAGAGCCUGACGGAGCAACGCCGCGUGAGUGAUGAAGGUCUUCGGAUCGUAAAACUCUGUUAUUAGGGAAGAACAAAUGUGUAAGUAACUAUGCACGUCUUGACGGUACCUAAUCAGAAAGCCACGGCUAACUACGUG
This 497-nucleotide ribosomal RNA is filed under the name uncultured bacterium. Its description in RNAcentral is "partial 16S ribosomal RNA". It matches the Rfam family "Bacterial small subunit ribosomal RNA", at positions 28 to 507 of the family's 1533-position model. The record is from RNAcentral.